GUUGCCCAGGCUGGAGUACAGUGGCAUGAUCUCGGCUCACUGCAGCCUCUGCCUCCCAGGUUCAAGCAAUUCAAGCAAUUGAGGUUUCCUCUCUCAGCCUCCCGAGUAGCUGGGACCACAUGCAUGCACCACCACACCCAGCUAUUUUUUUGUAUUUUAGUAGACACGGGGUUUCGCCAUGUUGGUCUUGAACUCCUGAGCUCAGGCAAUCCGCCCACCUCUGCCUCCCAAAAUGCUACGAUUACAGGUGUGAGCCACUGCGCCUGGCCAAGAGAGUUCUUUUUCUAAACAGACUCGCUCCAUGGAGCUGUUCCCCAAGUCCCUCCUUCUCGGCGCCCUCAGACACACACUCUCUUAGUGUCCAGAACAGAGCCACACGAGCCCUCAGCAUCCUUCAAACCCGUUCUUCCUCCAGAUGCUGCCGAGGUCAGGCCUGAGGCCGGCGCGUGGAGUGGCCUCGGCACCCUGUGUCCUCAGCUUGGCAACUCAGAGAAACAUGUUAGAGGUGCUAACAUUGGAUACAUGUGAGCACAAAGCUGGCAACUCUCAAAGAGGGAGGAAGACAAGGGUCGAAAACAAUCUGUUGCUAUGUUCACUAUUUGGAGGAGGGUUCACCUGAGCCCAAACCUCAGCAUCAUGCAAUAUACUCGUGUAAAAAAGCUGCACGUGGACUCGCUGAAUCCCAAACAAAAAUUAACAAUCCAAGUAUGGACUAAUACAGAGAGAGAAAGGAAGAAAGUGAAGAAGAGCAAACGUAUAUCUGCAGCGGUUUUUCUGCAUGGCUAAGGUGAGGCUGGGCUCCGUGGCUGUUCAGGCGAUUUUGCUGCCUAGAAGGGGAUUUGGAGAGGUAAGAAGCCUGCAAGACAGGAGGCAGCAAGAAUAGGACGUGGGCGGGGGACACCUACCACACAAAAGGCUCAUGUGGUCUUGAUAGUCGUGAAUAUCUUGGAUGCUCAUGCCGAGCUGUUGAGUGAGAUUCCUUAUGCCAUUCUCCACACUGGAAGGCUGAAGACUAAAGAGGUCAUUUGAGCUAUUAGGGGCACCUGACUCUCCCAUCAAACUGUCAUUCCUCUAGACCAGGGGCAGUGGCUCACCCCUGUAAUCUCAGCACUUUGGGAGGCCAGUGGAUCUCUUGAGCCCAGGAGUUCAAACCAGCCUGGGCAACAUAGCAAGAUCCCAUCUCUACAACAACAACAACAACAACAACAACAACAAAACAUACAAAAAAAAAUUAGCCAGGCAUGGUGGCACACACCUGCAGUCCCAUCUUUUUGAGAGGCUGAGGUGGGAGCAUGGAAUGGGCCUGGCAGGUUGAGGCUGCAGUGAGCUGUGAUUGUGCCACUGUACUCCAGUCUGAGCAAUAG
Homo sapiens (human) is the source of this 1364-nucleotide long non-coding RNA. The record is from Ensembl. NCBI's taxonomy places the organism in Eukaryota, Metazoa, Chordata, Mammalia, Primates, Hominidae.